UGGGGAAUAUUGGACAAUGGGCGAAAGCCUGAUCCAGCCAUGCCGCGUGUGUGAAGAAGGUCUUCGGAUUGUAAAGCACUUUAAGUUGGGAGGAAGGGCAUUAACCUAAUACGUUAGUGUUUUGACGUUACCGACAGGAUAAGCACCGGCUAACUCUGUGCCAGCAGCCGCGGUAAUACAGAGGGUGCAAGCGUUAAUCGGAAUUACUGGGCGUAAAGCGCGCGUAGGUGGUUUGUUAAGUUGGAUGUGAAAUCCCCGGGCUCAACCUGGGAACUGCAUUCAAAACUGACUGACUAGAGUAUGGUAGAGGGUGGUGGAAUUUCCUGUGUAGCGGUGAAAUGCGUAGAUAUAGGAAGGAACACCAGUGGCGAAGGCGACCACCUGGACUAAUACUGACACUGAGGUGCGAAAGCGUGGGGAGCAAACA
Molecule: ribosomal RNA, 427 nt
Filed under: uncultured bacterium
Lineage: Bacteria
Description: partial 16S ribosomal RNA
Rfam family: Bacterial small subunit ribosomal RNA
Source: RNAcentral